GAGGGUCUAGCUCAGUGGUAGAGCACAUGUUCAGGUCCUGGGUUCAAUCCCCAGCGCCUCCA
RNAcentral lists this transfer RNA (62 nucleotides) under Camelus bactrianus (Bactrian camel). It matches the Rfam family "tRNA". From Rfam's summary of the family: Transfer RNA (tRNA) molecules are approximately 80 nucleotides in length. The record is from Rfam by way of RNAcentral. Lineage: Eukaryota; Metazoa; Chordata; Mammalia; Artiodactyla; Camelidae. RNAcentral also lists the same sequence under 2 other names.